RNAcentral lists this ribosomal RNA (491 nucleotides) under Symbiodinium sp. Mp. Its description in RNAcentral is "partial Bacterial small subunit ribosomal RNA". It matches the Rfam family "Bacterial small subunit ribosomal RNA", at positions 35 to 521 of the family's 1533-position model. Lineage: Eukaryota; Dinophyceae; Suessiales; Symbiodiniaceae. The record is from RNAcentral.
GCUAGCGGCAGGCCUAAUACAUGCAAGUCGAACGGGAUUAGUUGUAUUUAUAUGACUAUGAGAGUGGCGCACGGGUGCGUAACACGUAUACAAUCUGCCCCAAACUGGAGAAUAGCCCGGCGAAAGUCGGAUUAAUACUCCAUAACAUUGCGAGAUGGCAUCGUCAUGCAAUUAAAGCUUCGGCGGUUUGGGAUGAGUAUGCGCAACAUUAGCUAGUUGGCGAGGUAACAGCUCACCAAGGCUACGAUGUUUAGGGGGUCUGAGAGGAUUAUCCCCCACACUGGUACUGAGACACGGACCAGACUCCUACGGGAGGCAGCAGUGAGGAAUCUUGCGCAAUGGGCGAAAGCCUGACGCAGCCACGCCGCGUGUCGGAAGACGGCCCUAUGGGUUGUAAACGACUUUUACCAGGGAAGAACGACUGAAUUUCGAUUUGGUGUGACGGUACCUGGUGAAUAAGCACCGGCUAACUCCGUGCCAGCAGCCGCGGU